Molecule: unclassified non-coding RNA, 293 nt
Filed under: Hevea brasiliensis (rubber tree)
Lineage: Eukaryota; Viridiplantae; Streptophyta; Magnoliopsida; Malpighiales; Euphorbiaceae
Source: RNAcentral
UGUACUCUAUGUAAGCUUUGGUAGUAUUGCAAUUAUGACAAGAGGUAUGGUCUUGAAAAUAGCAAGAAAAAGUUCUUGUGGGUUAUAAGACCUAAUUCUUUUACUACCAAUGAUGAUGGUGUUGAAGAAAUUCCUGAGGAGCUUCAGGAAGGACGAAAGGAAAGAGGAUACAUUGUGAAAUGGGCACCGCAGGAAGAGGUUUUGGCACAUAAGGCAAUUGGUGGGUUUUUGACACAUAGUGGAUGGAAUUCAACUCUGGAGAGUAUAGUGGCUGGUGUGCCUAUGAUUUGCUG